RNAcentral lists this ribosomal RNA (253 nucleotides) under uncultured bacterium. RNAcentral's name for it is "partial 16S ribosomal RNA". It matches the Rfam family "Bacterial small subunit ribosomal RNA", at positions 524 to 776 of the family's 1533-position model. The record is from RNAcentral.
UACGUAGGGUGCGAGCGUUGUCCGGAAUUAUUGGGCGUAAAGAGCUUGUAGGCGGUCUGUCGCGUCUGCUGUGAAAAUCCGGGGCUCAACCCCGGACUUGCAGUGGGUACGGGCAGACUAGAGUGUGGUAGGGGAGACUGGAAUUCCUGGUGUAGCGGUGAAAUGCGCAGAUAUCAGGAGGAACGCCGAUGGCGAAGGCAGGUCUCUGGGCCACUACUGACGCUGAGAAGCGAAAGCAUGGGGAGCGAACAGG